RNAcentral lists this ribosomal RNA (406 nucleotides) under uncultured bacterium. RNAcentral describes it as "partial 16S ribosomal RNA". It matches the Rfam family "Bacterial small subunit ribosomal RNA", at positions 29 to 526 of the family's 1533-position model. The record is from RNAcentral.
AUUGAACGCUGGCGGCAGGCCUAACACAUGCAAGUCGAACGAGUGGCGGACGGGUGAGUAAUGUCUGGGAACCUGCCUGAUGGAGGGGGAUAACUACUGGAAACGGUAGCUAAUACCGCAUACCAUCAGAUGUGCCCAGAUGGGAUUCGCUAGUUGGUGGGGGAACGGCUCACCAAGGCGACGAUCCCUCGCUGGUCUGAGAGGAGGACCAGCCACACGGGAACGGAGACACGGUCAAGACUCCUACGGGAGGCAGCAGUGGGGAAUAGUGCACAAUGGGCGCAAGCCGGAUGCAGCCAUGCCGCGUGUAUGAAGAAGGCCUUCGGGUUGGAAAGUACUUUCAGCGGGGAGGCGGUACCCGAAGAAGAAGCACCGGCUAACUCCGUGCCAGCAGCCGCGGUAAUAC